Oncorhynchus keta (chum salmon) is the source of this 443-nucleotide long non-coding RNA. RefSeq lists it as uncharacterized. The record is from RefSeq and is a predicted model, not a curated record. Lineage: Eukaryota; Metazoa; Chordata; Actinopteri; Salmoniformes; Salmonidae. The transcript has 3 exons.
CCACUACUGAUCCAGAAAGGUACAGGACACUGAUUACCACACCACUACUGAUCCAGAAAGGUACAGGACACUGAUUACCACACCACUAAUGAUCCAGAAAGGUACAGGACACUGAUCACCACACCACUAAUGAUCCAGAAAGGUACAGGACACUGAUUACCACACCACUACUGAUCCAGAAAGGUACAGGACACUGAUUACCACACCACACCACUAAUGACCCAGAAAGGUACAGGACACUGAUUACCACACCACACCACUACUGAUCCAGAAAGGUACAGGACACUGAUUACCACACCACACCACUACUGAUCCAGAAAGGUACAGGACACUGAUUACCACACCACACCACUACUGAUCCAGAAAGGUACAGGACACUGAUUACCACACCACUAAUGAUCCAGAAAGGUACAGGACACUGAUUACCACACCACUAAUGAUCC